UAGCCAUGGGCAGGUUGAAGGUUGGGUAACACUAACUGGAGGACCGAACCGACUAAUGUUGAAAAAUUAGCGGAUGACUUGUGGCUGGGGGUGAAAGGCCAAUCAAACCGGGAGAUAGCUGGUUCUCCCCGAAAGCUAUUUAGGUAGCGCCUCGUGAAUUCAUCUCCGGGGGUAGAGCACUGUUUCGGCAAGGGGGUCAUCCCGACUUACCAACCCGAUGCAAACUGCGAAUACCGGAGAAUGUUAUCACGGGAGACACACGGCGGGUGCUAACGUCCGUCGUGAAGAGGGAAACAACCCAGACCGCCAGCUAAGGUCCCAAAGUCAUGGUUAAGUGGGAAACGAUGUGGGAAGGCCCAGACAGCCAGGAUGUUGGCUUAGAAGCAGCCAUCAUUUAAAGAAAGCGUAAUAGCUCACUGGUCGAGUCGGCCUGCGCGGAAGAUGUAACGGGGCUAAACCAUGCACCGAAGCUGCGGCAGCGACACUGUGUGUUGUUGGGUAGGGGAGCGU
This 510-nucleotide ribosomal RNA is filed under the name Escherichia coli. Its description in RNAcentral is "bacterial LSU rRNA". It matches the Rfam family "Bacterial large subunit ribosomal RNA", at positions 731 to 1239 of the family's 2925-position model. Lineage: Bacteria; Pseudomonadati; Pseudomonadota; Gammaproteobacteria; Enterobacterales; Enterobacteriaceae. The record is from RNAcentral.